Beta vulgaris subsp. vulgaris (sugar beet) is the source of this 3508-nucleotide RNA transcript. RefSeq lists it as uncharacterized. NCBI's taxonomy places the organism in Eukaryota, Viridiplantae, Streptophyta, Magnoliopsida, Caryophyllales, Amaranthaceae. The record is from RefSeq and is a predicted model, not a curated record. The transcript has 3 exons.
UGAUGGGACACGAUUUUUCUAGGCAAAUUACGGAAAAAUAUGGAACUAAAUAUGCAAAUGGGAACUAUAUUUUGGGACAAACACCACCAAGAAGCCCAUCCAUCCCACCACUUCCCAACCACCCCAGCCGCCUCUUCCGCCACCCCAGGCGCGUCUCCCCUUUCCCCAAUCAAAAAAACCGCCAUAUUGUGAUAUUUACAUAGUUGCCCUUUUUCGAAACAAAUAGUAACUCUCUGUCUCUCUCUUCCAAGCCGUCACUGCACCAGCACCACCGUGAAGCGCCAUAUGAUAAAUUUCUACAGGUGUUGAUGUUAUUACUCUCUUCUUUUUUCAACAUUUCUUAAGAUUUUUAAGAAUCCUUUUAUUUAAUUUUCCUCUUAAGUGUGUUCUUGCUUCAAAAAUUAUAACUAUGGUUUCAAAGUUGAUAACUUUGGCCUCACAUGAAGCCCCAAAUAAGUUAGAACUUUCUCCAAGAGAAGCUUAUACCCUUCUUCAACCUAAAUUAACACCCCCAUUAAAGUUAAUUAUCCCUUCCCCUGAAGAGUACUUAAACCUUAAUAAGGCAAUUAUUUAUGGGGUUCUAUGUGAACCCACUUUGUCCAAAAUUCAUAUGAAGUAUUUACAUGCAAUUGUCACAGACGGGUAUUGCUUAUUUAUCAAUUUACUUUCAGAAAUUGUUGAUGGGCUGUUUUCAAAGAUGUUGGAAUCUCCAAAAGUUCAGUUGAUUUGGGUUGCUUCUGUUAUGAUUGAUGUUUGUGGCAUAGGUUUUGACAGUCUUUUGGUGUCUAUUUUGAGGCAAAUUUGUGGGGAUUUAGUGAUGGGAAUUGUGGCUCAGCUAUGAGAUGGUCAGUUUGUUUUUGUGUAAAUGGGAUUUGAUUUUGGAUGAGGAGCCAAUUGUUAUGUCUAUGCUUUGUAUACAUAUCUUAGGUUGUUGGCUGAUCACUAUCGGAUUGCGUGUAAUCCGAGGUCGGUAGAGUUGAAGAGAAAGGAGAUAGUUUGUGUUAGAAUGUUGAGAGAGCAGUUUCAUUUGUGUUUAAGAAUUGGGAGGGAUUUGGUCCGUCUUUUACAGGAUUUGGCUCAUGUUCCUGAGGUUCGAGCUAUAUGGAAAGAUCUAUUGCUGAAUCCAGGUUCAUUUGAGAGUUCUAGGUUUUCGGAUAUUUCUGAUAUUUAUGGCAUUAGAACAUCGAGUAGGUAUUUCUUGCUUAGAAUAACUCCUGAAAUGGAGACUCAGUUGAGGUUUCUGCUUACCCAUGUAAAGCUGGGAUAUCAGAGAAGGCACCAGACAUGGUUCACUAGGAAAUUCCUUUUUGCACCGGAGAGAGAGACUCUUGUCUGUGACAUUGUUCGCUUCAUUUGCUGUGCCCACCAUCCCUCAAAUGAAGUACUUCAAUCAGAUGUGAUCCCGAGGUGGGCUGUUAUUGGCUGGUUGUUGUUGAAAUUAUGUUCAAAGAAGUACUUUGAAGCUAAUGUGAAACUGACCUUGUUUUAUGAUUGGCUUUUCUUUGAUGAAAAGGUGGACAACUUUAUGAACAUUGAGCCUGCGAUGUUGUUAUUGGUGAACUCGAUACCUAAAUAUGUUGGUAUGACCAAUUCUCUAUUAGAAUUCUUGUUAUUAGUUGUAGAAAACUAUGAUGUGGAUAGGAAAAAUAUCAUCUGCAGAGGUGUGUCAUCAGCUAUAAGUAUACUAGUCAGUAAAGGGGUAAUUGGCUCCCUUGACGUAUUAACUUCUUGCAACUUGCUGUCUCCUUUUGUCAAAGAGAUGCUUCAAAACUUUAUGUUCAAGGUCCAAUCAGGGAUAUGUAAAGAGCCCCAGUUAACCAACCAUCCUUCUUCAGAUAAGCCAUCCCAGAUUUUGCCUAAUCCACCUGAUCUGGAAAGUGCACAUCAGUCUUCUGGACUUCUUGCUUGUCUUGAAAAUGCUGAAAUGAGCACUCAUUGUGUCUCUCUACCAGAAUCGAUUGAUUCAGCUGCUUCACAUGGUGAGUGCCAAGUUGAUGAUUUGACAAAUUUAAUAGGAAAAAUAGGAGAGGUAAUGAAAGGCUCGAACAGGAUGGGAGAGAAACUAGUGGAGAACAUCUUGCAUUUGUUCAUAAAAUCUGGAAACGAAGAAAAGUUUGGUGUUAUUAGCUCUGAAUCUUUAGCAUGUGAAUUGAAAAAGGAACUUGAGCUGGCUGGUCACAACCUUUUUUCACCUCUUGGAAGUUUACCAAAGAAUGAUGAUGCUGAUGCUGAUGAUGAAGUUGAAUCCGUAACAGCAGCAGUCAUUCGCACCUUCGUUAUUUCUCAACAUCAAUGGAUCAGGAAUAUGCUAUUCUGGUGGUCAAAGAAUGGCUGUGUAGUUGGAGCUCGAUUAUUAUCAUAUGCAUUGAGACUUGCACAUGAAGCACGUGAAGCAGGCUAUGGAGCAAACUCUACCAGCGAGAUCAAUUACAGAAAAUGGCCCUUGCUGAAGUGUCUCAUUGAAGGAUAUUAUGAACUUACAUCUCGAAAUGUGGAUCGUGUAAAUGAAACAAAUACUUCUAUUCCUGAGGUUGGUAACAAAUUGGUUAGUAAGAUGAUUGAUGAUGCUUUCACCUCUUAUAGGAAUAUGCUUACACAUGCUAGGAUGCUUUAAGCAAAGAAGUGGUUAUGGAUCCUGGUAAGAUCUUAGCAAUGGAUGUGUUGUUUUCUUCAUUAUGGAAGAGCAAAAGGUUUAAUGCUCUUUUCCACAUCAUCUUUUCUUAUCUUCCUGAUCUAUCCCUUGGCGAUGAAGAUGUAAUCCUGUUACUUGUCAGUCAAGUGGACGACGCUGAUCUUGUAUCCAUGCAGAUCGACUUGGGAUUGAGAAGGUUUUCUAUAUUUGGUGAAGAUGUCAGAAAAGUUGUCCAAUUGAUCAGAAAGUCCGUAUACUGGAAGCAAGUAGAUCAGCACAAAUUUUGGGGCUUGAUUAGAUCAGAGCUCACUGUCUCCGAGUUUCCUGUGGAGAAGUUGCUUUUGGAGUGCUUUUUCUCAACUGAUUUUGAUCCAAACACUAGUGGUGUCAUUGUUGGAGGUCUUCAAGCAAUAUGUAGUUCUUGUGCUCCCACACCAGAAAUUGUUGGUGCUGUCAUGUUAUUGCCGAACAAUAAGUUCCCUGAUUUUGCUGCUUCCAUUCUCUCUCAUUGGACCAUAACUAAUGCAUCAAUGUUCUCCAAUAGUGUAGCUGAUUUUUUGAUUAAACUCGAGAACAAGAAUGGGAAUGCUCCUCUUGACUAUAGCAGUGUUUCCAUCAACCAGUCUGCUCUCUUAUAUUUGUUAGAAUAUUUUGAAGCACAAGGUGUACAAGGUGUUAACAUGCUAGAGAAACUGGCGUUGAAUUUAGCAGACAUAGAAACAAGACUCGGGAAUCCUACAGUUCCAAUGGAUACUGGGUAAUUCUGUCUUGUGUCAUGGUUGAGAAUAUUCUAAUUAUGGGCCAUAGUUGCUGUGGGGGAAUCCAUGCCCUCAUGGGUAUGCAGGAUGAAGAAGAAGAUUCAAGGAGGUGCAUUAG